UGAGGAAUAUUGCGCAAUGGGCGAAAGCCUGACGCAGCGACGCCGCGUGGAGGAUGAAGGUCUUCGGAUUGUAAACUUCUGUUAAGUGGGAAGAAAGCCCCUAUUCUAAUAAAGUAGGGUUAUGACGGUACCAUUAUAGAAAGCACCGGCUAACUUCGUGCCAGCAGCCGCGGUAAUACGAAGGGUGCAAGCGUUAUUCGGAUUGAUUGGGCGUAAAGGGUGCGCAGGCGGUAUGUUAAGUCAACUGUUAAAGUCUUCGGCUUAACCGAAGGUAUGCGGUAGAUACUGGCAAACUAGAGUAUGGAAGAGAGAAGUGGAAUUCUCGGAGUAGCGGUAAAAUGCGUAGAUCUCGAGAGGAACACCGAUGGCGAAGGCAGCUUCUUGGUCCAUUACUGACGCUCAGGCACGAAAGCGUGGGGAGCAAACAG
This 428-nucleotide ribosomal RNA is filed under the name uncultured bacterium. RNAcentral's name for it is "bacterial SSU rRNA". It matches the Rfam family "Bacterial small subunit ribosomal RNA", at positions 355 to 775 of the family's 1533-position model. The record is from RNAcentral.